AAAGGCAGCUCAGUUUAGUUUAGAUUAGUUUAGUUAAGAGGUGCAGCAUGGAAACAUGUCAUUCGGCCCACCGAGUCCACACCGACCAGCGAUCCCCACACAUUAAAGCUAUUCUCCACACACGAGGGACAAUUUACACUCAUACCGACCCAAUUAACCUACAAAACUGCACGUCUUUCGAAUGUGGGAGGAAACCAAAGAUCUCGGAGAAAAGCCCAAGUAGGUCACGGGGAGAAUUUACAAACUCCAUAAAGACAGCACCCGUAGUCGGGAUCGAACCCGGGUCUCUGGCGCUGUAAGGCAUUAGGUCUACCACCACACCACUGUGCUGCACAAAUGAUGCAAUUGAAUCCUGCAAUAUGUGUAGGAUGUUCAUUUGUAUAACCUCCCACCUGAAAGUUGAUUUAGAUGGUCAAACAGGGAGAAAAUGUCCCCACUAUCCAUUCAGCUACCGGGCGCCCAUUUCUCUUGCAAGAAACCAGUACGGGGCAGUUGAAUAUCUCCUCUUAACGAUACGAUCCGAUACGAUACGAUAGAAAUUUAUUCAUCCCCGGAAGGAAAUUUUAUCAAUUUAAAUUUAGUUUGUAUCACUAAUACUGCAUUCAGAUUCACUUCUUCCUCCUAAAUGCAACAUGAACCCUAUAAUUUAAUCACUGAAUGUACUCAGCAGGCUUGAAGUCUACUGAGAGACAGAUCCUACGGUGAAGGUUUUCUCAUUUCCACACCUUGCUGGUUUUAAUGAUGGAACGGAUGUGUAUGCAGGUGAUUGAUAUGAUGGAUGAUAGCUUUAGCUAUCUGAACAAUUUGAUAUUUUCGUAACCAGGACCCUUGUGCAUUGCUCCUCAAAAGCUGAAGUAGGUCAAACAGUCUUAAGUAUCAGCAUUUCUAUUGCACCAUCUCCUGCAAUCCAAUACAUGCCUUUGACAUCGCUGUAAGGUGACACCUUAACUCCCGAUUCACUUCAGCUUUCAAAGUGCAUCCUCCAGCACUUAUUCUGUUGUUCUUACAUAGAAAAUAUGUUAGCAACGUAUGCUUCAUUGCAUUCUCUUGGAAUUCCUCAGUCAUAGCCAAACAUCAUGUUUGACUCGAUACCAAAUUAGUCAGAAAAGCUGCAUUCCAGUUACUAACAGGAUCACUUUCAGAUGAUAGGAAUGCUUUCUACGGCACUGUUACUUUUUCACCCCUGAAAACAAUUUUCUGCACACAUCACAUGUCAUGCUGAUUUUAUGUUUCAUUAAACGCAGAAAGUGGUCUGAAUGACAUUUCCUCUCCUUCACCUGAGUAAGUGGCAGCUCACAUUAGCUGAUGUGCUUCUGCUUACAAGCACACAACUCAGAUUUAAGGGCAUGUGAAGCAAAGCUGAAGAAACUCCAGCAUUUUUGUGUACCCCCUGAAGAAACCUAUACCUGCUAGUUGAUAUUUCACUCGGGCAGCUCAUAAGCUAAUGGAAUCGGCAUAAGGAUCCACUAGUGUUGAGGCUUUCCUCAGUCAGGAUCAGUCUACAUGCCCUUACAAAGAUUUGUCUGGCAACCUCCUAUCAGGGGUUCCUUUACACACAAAUUGUUGUUCAUCAGCCCAUCCAAUCCCUCUGAGCUUGGAUGAUGCAGCGGAAGAGUUGAGACCCGGGUUCAAUCCAGACUACGGGCGCUGUCUGUACUGAGUUUGUACGUUCGCACCGUGACUUGCGUGGGUUUUCUCCAAAAUCUUCGGUGUCCUCCCACACUCCAAACAGGUGAACACAUUGUUUUUUAACAACAGUGCCUGUGUGUACCAAGACUGCAUGAAGAGCACUUCAUUGCACUCAUUCAGUAGGAAGAACAAGCACACCUCUUCAAAAUGUUCUCUCCAAUUCAUGCACCAUGUGAUUAGGGGCAUGUUGUCACUGUUCCUUUAUCAUCACCAUGUCGAUAGUCUGGAACUCUGUACCUAAAAGGCAAAGUAGAAAUAUAUAUAAUAGACGGAGGCAGACCACUCGCAUAUUUUCUGGAACUGUGUAAAGGUAAGGCCAUACUGGAAAAAUGUUAAUGCAGCUGUACAAAAACAUCUUGGUUAUAAAAUCCCAAAUACCUGCCCUGUGAUGUAUCUGGGGCGUAUUAAAGAUGUUGUAAAAAUAGAAGAUACAUAUUUGAUUAAAGUUUUGCUUGCAGCAAGCAAGAAGGCCAUUACCAGGUAGUGGCUUAAUGCAAAAGUCCAAAACAGGAACAGUGGUUAGAAAUUGUGCGAGACAUCAUUAAUAUGGAGAAAUUGACAUAUUCCUUGAGAGUCAAGGAGAAUUCAUUUGAGAAGCUCUGGGAAAAAUGGACCAUUUAUUUGAGCCAUGACACCAAUUAGAUAAAUGCCGAGCUAGAUAUGGGAAGAUUGUGUUACAUAUAACUAGAUGGUAUGUUUGUAUGAAUAUUGAAUGAUCUCCAGAUAACUAAUCAAUGCAAUGUUAUUUUUCUUUUUUUAAUUUGGUAGGUGAACCACAUGGUCUUAUUCCAAUCUUUUAUUUAUUUACUUCUUUUUUUUCCACCCUAUCUACUUAUUUUUUUAUUUUGAUUGCUGUUUUUCUUAUUUUGCUUUAUUUACGGUGAUGGUGUUGCACUGUUUUGUAUAUAUCUCAUAAAAAUCAAUAAAAAUGUAAGUGAAAAAAAAUAUAUCUAUAUUACUAAAAGUCUGUUCUUGACCGGUUUUGGCCAUCUGUGCUGCGAUUUCCUAUGGCCGUCAUUUUUGGCCACCUUGCUCAGAGCCCCCCUCCGCCGCAUGUGUGCCAAGGAUUUUCCCCGUCGAUUAAAAAUGACAGAUAUAUUAAUGUUUUUACAAAAUUCCCCAUUCUCUCUGCUGCCCCCGCUGGCGGCAGGGGGGAGGAACUAUAAAACCAGGAAGUGAUGUGCCACACAGUCUUUUCAAGGGAGGAAGGCAGAGGGUCACGUUUCUCUGAGCUGUGAAUAACAUUGAACACAUGUCUACUCAAACGUAAGUGCCCUUAGUGGUUCUAAAAUGCUUGCAGAAUGUGUCUAUUGGUUUUAAAGCUUGCAAAAAAAAUGUCUAUUGGUUCUAAAGCUUUCAAAAAAUGUCUAUUGGUUCUAAAGCUUGCAAAAAAUGUCUAUUGGUUCUAAAGCUUGCAAAAAAAGUGUCUAUUGGUUCUAAAGCUUGCAAAAAAUGUCUAUUGGUUCUAAAGGUUGCAAAAAAUGUUUAUUGGUUCUAAAGCUU
Molecule: long non-coding RNA, 3192 nt
Organism: Leucoraja erinaceus (little skate)
Lineage: Eukaryota; Metazoa; Chordata; Chondrichthyes; Rajiformes; Rajidae
Exons: 3
Source: RefSeq, a predicted model, not a curated record